Molecule: ribosomal RNA, 492 nt
Filed under: uncultured bacterium
Lineage: Bacteria
Description: partial 16S ribosomal RNA
Rfam family: Bacterial small subunit ribosomal RNA
Source: RNAcentral
AGUGAACGCUGGCGGUAGGCCUAACACAUGCAAGUCGAACGGCAGCACAGUAAGAGCUUGCUCUUACGGGUGGCGAGUGGCGGACGGGUGAGGAAUACAUCGGAAUCUACUUUUUCGUGGGGGAUAACGUAGGUAAACUUACGCUAAUACCGCAUACGACCUACGGGUGAAAGCAGUGGAUCUUCGGACCUUGCGCGAUUGAAUGAGCCGAUGUCGGAUUAGCUAGUUGGCGGGGUAAAGGCCCACCAAGGCGACGAUCCGUAGCUGGUCUGAGAGGAUGAUCAGCCACACUGGAACUGAGACACGGUCCAGACUCCUACGGGAGGCAGCAGUGGGGAAUAUUGGACCAUGGGCGCAAGCCUGAUCCAGACAUACCGCGUGGGUGAAGAAGGCCUUCGGGUUGUAAAGCCCUUUUGUUGGGAAAGAAAAGCAGCAGGUUAAUACCGCGCUGUUCUGACGGUACCCAAAGAAUAAGCACCGGCUAACUUCGUG